This 273-nucleotide ribosomal RNA is filed under the name Triticum aestivum (bread wheat). RNAcentral describes it as "partial small subunit ribosomal RNA". The record is from RNAcentral. Lineage: Eukaryota; Viridiplantae; Streptophyta; Magnoliopsida; Poales; Poaceae.
AUGGUUACCUCCACGCCAAGUACCAUGACCCACAAGACGGAGAAUGCCAAGCACCCCUUCGAACUAUCAAGACCUCAGGACCACCCGGACGACUACCGCACCGGAACGUCAAGUACCUCUGCCGAAGACUCCCACCAAAGACACGUGUACGACUACUACAUAAACGAGUACCGAACGAAUCACCAUGACCUACGAGAACGACUUCGUGGACCGACAAGUACCACGACGUCCGUCGAUCGCCAAGUACCCCUUUGGAUACGCAAGUUCCUCUAA